RNAcentral lists this ribosomal RNA (241 nucleotides) under uncultured Staphylococcus sp. RNAcentral's name for it is "partial 16S ribosomal RNA". It matches the Rfam family "Bacterial small subunit ribosomal RNA", at positions 99 to 334 of the family's 1533-position model. The record is from RNAcentral. Lineage: Bacteria; Bacillati; Bacillota; Bacilli; Caryophanales; Staphylococcaceae.
CGGACGGGUGAGUAACACGUGGAUAACCUACCUAUAAGACUGGGAUAACUUCGGGAAACCGGAGCUAAUACCGGAUAAUAUAUUGAACCGCAUGGUUCAAUAGUGAAAGACGGUUUUGCUGUCACUUAUAGAUGGAUCCGCGCCGCAUCAGCUAGUUGGUAAGGUAACGGCUUACCAAGGCGACGAUGCGUAGCCGACCUGAGAGGGUGAUCGGCCACACUGGAACUGAGACACGGUCCAG